CCUACGGGGUGCAGCAGUGAGGAAUAUUGGUCAAUGGACGAGAGUCUGAACCAGCCAAGUAGCGUGAAGGAUGACUGCCCUAUGGGUUGUAAACUUCUUUUAUAUGGGAAUAAAAUGUUCCACGUGUGGGAUUUUGUAUGUACCAUAUGAAUAAGGAUCGGCUAACUCCGUGCCAGCAGCCGCGGUAAUACGGAGGAUCCGAGCGUUAUCCGGAUUUAUUGGGUUUAAAGGGAGCGUAGGUGGAGUGUUAAGUCAGUUGUGAAAGUUUGCGGCUCAACCGUAAAAUUGCAGUUGAAACUGGCAGUCUUGAGUACAGUAGAGGUGGGCGGAAUUCGUGGUGUAGCGGUGAAAUGCUUAGAUAUCACGAAGAACUCCGAUUGCGAAGGCAGUUCACUGGACUGCAACUGACACUGAGGCUCGAAAGUGUGGGUAUCAAACAGGAUUAGAUACCCGGGUAGUC
RNAcentral lists this ribosomal RNA (460 nucleotides) under uncultured bacterium. Its description in RNAcentral is "partial 16S ribosomal RNA". It matches the Rfam family "Bacterial small subunit ribosomal RNA", at positions 338 to 795 of the family's 1533-position model. The record is from RNAcentral.